GAUGAACGCUGGCGGCGUGCCUAAUACAUGCAAGUCGAGCGAACGGACGAGAAGCUUGCUUCUCUGAUGUUAGCGGCGGACGGGUGAGUAACACGUGGAUAACCUACCUAUAAGACUGGGAUAACUUCGGGAAACCGGAGCUAAUACCGGAUAAUAUUUUGAACCGCAUGGUUCAAAAGUGAAAGACGGUCUUGCUGUCACUUAUCGAUGGAUCCGCGCUGCAUUAGCUAGUUGGUAAGGUAACGGCUUACCAAGGCAACGAUGCAUAGCCGACCUGAGAGGGUGAUCGGCCACACUGGAACUGAGACCCGGUCCAGACUCCUACGGGAGGCAGCAGUAGGGAAUCUUGCGCAAUGGGCGAAAGCCUGACGGAGCAACGCCGCGUGAGUGAUGAAGGUCUUCGGAUCGUAAAACUCUGUUAUUAGGGAAGAACAUAUGUGUAAGUAACUGUGCACAUCUUGACGGUACCUAAUCAGAAAGCCACGGCUAACUACGUG
RNAcentral lists this ribosomal RNA (497 nucleotides) under uncultured bacterium. Its description in RNAcentral is "partial 16S ribosomal RNA". It matches the Rfam family "Bacterial small subunit ribosomal RNA", at positions 28 to 507 of the family's 1533-position model. The record is from RNAcentral.